This is a transfer RNA of Thermoplasmatales archaeon I-plasma, 71 nucleotides long. It matches the Rfam family "tRNA". Rfam says of the family: Transfer RNA (tRNA) molecules are approximately 80 nucleotides in length. Their secondary structure includes four short double-helical elements and three loops (D, anti-codon, and T loops). NCBI's taxonomy places the organism in Archaea, Methanobacteriati, Thermoplasmatota, Thermoplasmata, Thermoplasmatales. The record is from Rfam.
GCGAGUGUAGUGUAGCGGUAGCACAAAAGCUUCCCAAGCUUUUAACCCGGGUCCGAAUCCCGGCACUCGCA